This 371-nucleotide ribosomal RNA is filed under the name uncultured bacterium. Its description in RNAcentral is "bacterial SSU rRNA". It matches the Rfam family "Bacterial small subunit ribosomal RNA", at positions 29 to 408 of the family's 1533-position model. The record is from RNAcentral.
AACGAACGCUGGCGGCAUGGAUUAGGCAUGCAAGUCGAACGCUCAUCUUCGGAUGGGAGUGGCGGAAGGGUGAGGAACGCGUGAGUAAUCUGCCCCCAAGUUGGGAAUAACAGUUGGAAACGACUGCUAAAACCGAAUGUGGCUGAAAGGACGCAUGUUUUUUCGGCUAAAGAUUUAUCGCUUGGGGAUGAGCUCGCGUCCCAUUAGCUAGUUGGUGAGGUAACGGCUCACCAAGGCGACGAUGGGUAGCUGGUCUGAGAGGAUGGUCAGCCACACUGGGACUGAGACACUGCCCAGACUCCUACGGGAGGCUGCAGUCGAGAAUCUUGGGCAAUGCGCGAAAGCGUGACCCAGCAAUGCCGCGUGCGGGA